GCAGGAGAGCUGCUUUAUGUUGUGGUUUUACUAAAUGAAUUCAAAGCUUGGCCUUCCUCCAGGCAAAUUCUGGGCCAGGUGCCAGCGGAGCAGCCCCCAGGGAGAGCACUGGAGCAAGGAGGGGCCAACAGCAGGGAAGAGCAGAGGAAUCCAAGAAGGCAGAUUUGCCUAGAAAACAGCUCUGUUUCCAUCUGCUGGGUCAGGAGUUGCUAUAGGAACCGGGAUGAUAGAGGCAGGGCCAUCUCCUGGGCCUGUCUGUGUGUGCGGAGGGAGGGAGGAGGGAGGAGUUACUCAAGUUUGAACAUAUCAUGUGUGUGCUGGUGGAAAGUUGCAAGGAAUGUCGAAACUACAGCCUGGCUCAACCUGUGGAGUUCCAAAGAGACGGAGCAGCAGUUCCCCGUGCUCGGCAGGCCCUGGCAGAGGCAGGUGCUGAGAACUUUCCAAAAUAGCUGUAGUUCCACCAAGAGCCUUCCAGGGUCACUCACUGCUCCACAGAGGCAGAGCUUGCCAAACUGGCUGGGAUCACAGCCCACCUACUCAGGCACCCAUCUUAUCACAGGCACAGGGGAGCCCCAGAGCCCGAGUGCAGCCAGCUGUGGAAUAACCUGCCCGUGCAGGAGAGAACCCUCUGGUCACAUUAGUUCCUGGUUUGUUUAUGCCUGGCUAGAGGAAAAUUUAUCUCCAGUGUGCUCUCUUUCACUCUGUUAA
Molecule: long non-coding RNA, 708 nt
Filed under: Cyanistes caeruleus (blue tit)
Lineage: Eukaryota; Metazoa; Chordata; Aves; Passeriformes; Paridae
Description: lncRNA (ENSCCEG00000023348.1)
Source: RNAcentral